UACACGUCGCUAACAUGCCCUUUGGUCAAGGAUAACUUCGGGAAACUGAAGGUAAUACUUGAUAGGAGAAUUCGCCUGGAAUGGUUUUUCUCUGAAACUCGUGCCGAAGGAUUGGGCGGCGGUCGAUUAGGUUGAUGGCGGUGUAAUGGACCACCAUGCCUUCGAUCGAUACGGGCCUUGAGAGAGGUAGCCCGGAGAGGAACACUGAGAUACUGGUUCCAGCCCUACGGGGUGCAGCAGGCGCGAAACCUUUACAAUGCACGCAAGUGUGAUAGGGGGAUCCUAAGUGCUUAUGCUUCGGUAUAAGCUUUUUUCAAGAGUAAAUAUCUUGGAGAAUAAGUGGUGGGUAAGACUGGUGCCAGCCGCCGCGGUAACACCAGCGCCACGAGUGGCAACCGCGUUUAUUGGGCCUAAAGCGUCCGUAGCCGGUUGAAUAAAUCUUCUGUGAAAUCGUCAGGCUUAACUUGACGGCGUGCAGGAGACACUAUUCAACUUGAGACCGGGAGGGGUCAGAGGUAUUCCUGAGGGAGCGGUAAAAUGUGAUAAUCUCAGGAGGAUCACCUAUGGCGAAGGCAUCUGACCAGAACGGUUCUGACGGUGAGGGACGAAGGCUGGGGGAGCGAUCCGGAUUAGAUACCCGAGUAGUCCCAGCAGUAAACUCUGUGAGCUAGAUGUUGCAUAUCCUUGAGGAUGUGCAGUGUCGAAACGAAGGUGUUAAGCUCACCGCCUGGAA
RNAcentral lists this ribosomal RNA (733 nucleotides) under uncultured euryarchaeote. Its description in RNAcentral is "bacterial SSU rRNA". It matches the Rfam family "Archaeal small subunit ribosomal RNA", at positions 95 to 833 of the family's 1478-position model. The record is from RNAcentral. Lineage: Archaea; Methanobacteriati; Methanobacteriota.